UCAUCUUCGGGGGUAGAGCACUGUUUCGGCUAGGGGGUCAUCCCGACUUACCAACCCGAUGCAAACUACGAAUACCGAAGAAUGUUAUCACGGGAGACACACGGCGGGUGCUAACGUCCGUCGUGAAGAGGGAAACAACCCAGACCGCCAGCUAAGGUCCCAAAGUCAUGGUUAAGUGGGAAACGAUGUGGGAAGGCACAGACAGCCAGGAUGUUGGCUUAGAAGCAGCCAUCAUUUAAAGAAAGCGUAAUAGCUCACUGGUCGAGUCGGCCUGCGCGGAAGAUGUAACGGGGCUAAACCAUGCACCGAAGCUGCGGCAGCGACACUAUGUGUUGUUGGGUAGGGGAGCGUUCUGUAAGCCUGCGAAGGUGACCUGUGAGGGUUGCUGGAGGUAUCAGAAGUGCGAAUGCUGACAUAAGUAACGAUAAAGCGGGUGAAAAGCCCGCUCGCCGGAAGACCAAGGGUUCCUGUCCAACGUUAAUCGGGGCAGGGUGAGUCGACCCCUAAGGCGAGGCCGAAAGGCGUAGUCGAUGGGAAACAGGUUAAUAUUCCUGUACUUGGUGUUACUGCGAAGGGGGGACGGAGAAGGCUAUGUUAGCCGGGCGACGGUUGUCCCGGUUUAAGCAUGUAGGCUGGUUGUCCAGGCAAAUCCGGAUAAUCAAGGCUGAGGUGUGAUGACGAGGCACUACGGUGCUGAAGUAACAAAUGCCCUGCUUCCAGGAAAAGCCUCUAAGCAUCAGGUAACAUUAAAUCGUACCCCAAACCGACACAGGUGGUCAGGUAGAGAAUACCAAGGCGCUUGAGAGAACUCGGGUGAAGGAACUAGGCAAAAUGGUGCCGUAACUUCGGGAGAAGGCACGCUGGUGUGUAGGUGAAG
Molecule: ribosomal RNA, 877 nt
Filed under: Klebsiella pneumoniae
Lineage: Bacteria; Pseudomonadati; Pseudomonadota; Gammaproteobacteria; Enterobacterales; Enterobacteriaceae
Description: partial 23S ribosomal RNA
Rfam family: Bacterial large subunit ribosomal RNA
Source: RNAcentral